RNAcentral lists this ribosomal RNA (463 nucleotides) under uncultured bacterium. RNAcentral's name for it is "bacterial SSU rRNA". It matches the Rfam family "Bacterial small subunit ribosomal RNA", at positions 338 to 793 of the family's 1533-position model. The record is from RNAcentral.
CCUACGGGUCGCACCAGUAGGGAAUCUUCGGCAAUGGACGAAAGUCUGACCGAGCAACGCCGCGUGAGUGAAGAAGGUUUUCGGAUCGUAAAGCUCUGUUGUUAGAGAAGAACAAGUAGGAGAGUAACUGCUCUUACCUUGACGGUAUCUAACCAGAAAGCCACGGCUAACUACGUGCCAGCAGCCGCGGUAAUACGUAGGUGGCCAGCGUUGUCCGGAUUUAUUGGGCGUAAAGCGAGCGCAGGCGGUCUUUUAAGUCUGAUGUGAAAGCCCUCGGCUCAACCGAGGAAGGUCAUUGGAAACUGGAGGACUUGAGUGCAGAAGAGGAGAGUGGAAUUCCAUGUGUAGCGGUGAAAUGCGUAGAUAUAUGGAGGGACACCAGUGGCGAAGGCGACUCUCUGGUCUGUAACUGACGCUGAGGCUCGAAAGCGUGGGGAGCAAACAGGAUUAGAUACCCCUGUAG